Molecule: ribosomal RNA, 469 nt
Filed under: uncultured archaeon
Lineage: Archaea
Description: bacterial SSU rRNA
Rfam family: Archaeal small subunit ribosomal RNA
Source: RNAcentral
CCGGUUGAUCCUGCCGGACCCGACUGCUAUCAGAGUGAGAUUAAGCCAUGCGAGUCAACGUAGCAAUACGUGGCAUACGGCUCAGUAACACGUAGUUAACAUGCCCAAAGGACGUGGAUAACCUCGGGAAACUGAGGAUAAACCGCGAUAGGCCAAGGUUUCUGGAAUGAGCCAUGGCCGAAAUCUACAUGGCCUUUGGAUUGGACUGCGGCCGAUCAGGCUGUUGGUGAGGUAAUGGCCCACCAAACCUGUAACCGGUACGGGCUUUGAGAGAAGGAGCCCGGAGAUGGGCACUGAGACAAGGGCCCAGGCCCUAUGGGGCGCAGCAGGCGCGAAACCUCUGCAAUAGGCGAAAGCCUGACAGGGUUACUNCUGAGNNUGAUGCCCGCUAAGGGUAUCUUUUGGCACCUCUAAAAAUGGUGCAGAAUAAGGGGUGGGCAAGUCUGGUGUCAGCCGCCGCGGUAAUACC